Long non-coding RNA from Anopheles gambiae (African malaria mosquito), 1011 nucleotides. RefSeq lists it as uncharacterized. The record is from RefSeq and is a predicted model, not a curated record. The transcript is spliced from 4 exons. NCBI's taxonomy places the organism in Eukaryota, Metazoa, Arthropoda, Insecta, Diptera, Culicidae.
AGCAACAGAUGGUAUUGGAGGGCUAUACGUAUAUCUUGGUUUCCCGGUUGAUGACUGGGCCAGGUGUUGUUGUACUGCUGAGAUAAUCACUGGUUGUUUUUUGGCAUUUUCAUUUUCGGGAUCUGCAGCAAGGCUUGCGACACGGAUACUGGACGAAGUUGAGUUUUGCGGUCCUGAUGAUUUGGUUUUCUUUGAUGUUCCAGGAAGCAAUAAGGAUGAUGCCGAAAUGAUGCUGGAUGAGGAUGUUGGUGGUCGGACGAGCUUUACUGGAGUGUUCACGGAAGCAUUGAUGAUGAUGCCGAGAGGAUGCGAGAUGAUGAUGCUGAUGUUGACAACUGUACCAGUUUUGCUGGGGCAUUAACGUUGAGGACUGGUCGGCAAAUUUGUUCAGAUUUGAUAAUUACUGGUCUAUUUGCCUGUUUUGCACUUUCAGGAGCUAAUGACGGUGAUGCCGAAAGGACGCGGGGCGAGGAUGCUGAUGAUUGCACGAGCUUCGCUGGGGCAUUCACGUGAAGGACUGGUCGGCAAAUUCGUUCAGAUUUAAUAAUCACUGGUCUCUUUGCCUGUUUCGCAGUGCAAGGAGCUGAUGAUGGUGAUGCCGAAAGGACGCGGGGCGAGGAUGCGAUGGCUGACGAUUGAACCAGGUUCACAGGGGCAUUCACAUGCCAGGAGCCGAUAAUGGAGAUGCCGAAAGGACGCAGGAUGAUUUUUUUGACCAUUGCACGAGCUUCACAGGGGCAUUCACGGAAGGAAUAAUGGUGAUGUAGAUAUGGAUGUCUUUAAUGGUACGAGGGUCGCUGGUACUACCGAUGCCUGCGCUUUUACGCUGAGAUCUGAAAAUGAUGCCAUCGGUGCCGUUAUCGUUUUAUACACGUUGUUUGAAGCCAUUUCGCUAAACGUAUCCUAAAUGAACAUUUUGUUUAUUUAGUGAACCAUUUGAUUUCAAUUUAUCCUAAUUAAUAGGUACCUUUUUUUGUUUUGAAGAAAAUCCGAGAGAAAUAAUAAAUAGAA